RNAcentral lists this small RNA (26 nucleotides) under Bombyx mori (domestic silkworm). RNAcentral describes it as "ovarian small RNA-22716". The record is from RNAcentral. Lineage: Eukaryota; Metazoa; Arthropoda; Insecta; Lepidoptera; Bombycidae.
UAGGGACAGGCUUGUUUGUUCGCCUC